GACUGUCUCUGUCGAAGAUGCAGACGGAGAAUCCAAGCUCGUUCUCCAGGACGCUUCGGAGGGUGAAGAGAACAAAGUGCUCCUCCUCGCUGUUCCUCGCAUAGGAGAUGUACACAUCGUACUCCUUAUGGAGCGGUAGAGCAGCAGCAGCUCCAGCCAGAAGACGUGGUAGAGGAAGAAGAGGAGCAGCAUGAGGAGCAGCGUCGCCCCGAGGCCACAGCCCAGCUCCAGGGAGGGCAGCGACACUGAGGGAGGCAGACAGGUGGUUAAAGAGUUAAAGAGUGAACGGCGUGUCCCAGAUGAAGAGGACACGAGCGACAACACGACAACAAGACGCGAACACGCGCCUCGGACUGCGGGACACCGG
This is a long non-coding RNA of Pungitius pungitius (ninespine stickleback), 367 nucleotides long. RefSeq lists it as uncharacterized. The transcript has 3 exons. Lineage: Eukaryota; Metazoa; Chordata; Actinopteri; Perciformes; Gasterosteidae. The record is from RefSeq and is a predicted model, not a curated record.